UGGGGAAUCUUGCGCAAUGCGCGAAAGCGUGACGCAGCAACGCCGCGUGGGGGAAGAAGGCCUUCGGGUUGUAAACCCCUUUCAGUUGGGACGAAGCUUCGGCGGUGAAUAGCCGCCUGGAGUGACGGUACCUUCAGAAGAAGCCCCGGCUAACUACGUGCCAGCAGCCGCGGUAAUACGUAGGGGGCAAGCGUUGUCCGGAAUCAUUGGGCGUAAAGAGCGUGUAGGCGGCUUGGUAAGUCCGCUGUGAAAGUCCAGGGCUCAACCCUGGAAUGCCGGUGGAAACUGUCAGGCUCGAGUCCGGAAGAGGCGAGUGGAAUUCCUGGUGUAGCGGUGAAAUGCGCAGAUAUCAGGAGGAACACCAAUGGCGAAGGCAGCUCGCUGGGACGGUACUGACGCUGAGACGCGAAAGCGUGGGGAGCAAACA
This 427-nucleotide ribosomal RNA is filed under the name uncultured Conexibacter sp. Its description in RNAcentral is "bacterial SSU rRNA". It matches the Rfam family "Bacterial small subunit ribosomal RNA", at positions 355 to 774 of the family's 1533-position model. The record is from RNAcentral. Lineage: Bacteria; Bacillati; Actinomycetota; Thermoleophilia; Solirubrobacterales; Conexibacteraceae.